Molecule: ribosomal RNA, 388 nt
Filed under: Dechloromonas sp.
Lineage: Bacteria; Pseudomonadati; Pseudomonadota; Betaproteobacteria; Rhodocyclales; Azonexaceae
Description: bacterial SSU rRNA
Rfam family: Bacterial small subunit ribosomal RNA
Source: RNAcentral
GAACUGAAGAGUUUGAUCCUGGCUCAGAUUGAACGCUGGCGGCAUGCCUUACACAUGCAAGUCGAACGGCAGCGGGCCUUCGGGUGCCGGCGAGUGGCGAACGGGUGAGUAAUGCAUCGGAACGUGCCAUUGAGUGGGGGAUAACGUAGCGAAAGUUGCGCUAAUACCGCAUAUUCUGUGAGCAGGAAAGCAGGGGACCGCAAGGCCUUGCGCUCUUUGAGCGGCCGAUGUCAGAUUAGCUAGUUGGUGAGGUAAAGGCUUACCAAGGCGACGAUCUGUAGCGGGUCUGAGAGGAUGAUCCGCCACACUGGAACUGAGACACGGUCCAGACUCCUACGGGAGGCAGCAGUGGGGAAUUUUGGACAAUGGGGGCAACCCUGAUCCAGCC